AGAGUUUGAUCCUGGCUCAGGAUGAACGCUGGCGGCGUGCUUAACACAUGCAAGUCGAACGAAGCACUUUAACCUGAUUCUUCGGAUGAAGGUUUUUGUGACUGAGUGGCGGACGGGUGAGUAACGCGUGGGUAACCUGCCUCAUACAGGGGGAUAACAGUUAGAAAUGACUGCUAAUACCGCAUAAGACCACGGAGCUGCAUGGCUCAGUGGGAAAAACUCCGGUGGUAUGAGAUGGACCCGCGUCUGAUUAGGUAGUUGGUGGGGUAACGGCCUACCAAGCCAACGAUCAGUAGCCGACCUGAGAGGGUGACCGGCCACAUUGGGACUGAGACACGGCCCAAACUCCUACGGGAGGCAGCAGUGGGGAAUAUUGCACAAUGGGGGAAACCCUGAUGCAGCGACGCCGCGUGAGCGAAGAAGUAUUUCGGUAUGUAAAGCUCUAUCAGCGGGGAAGAAAAUGACGGUACCUGACUAAGAAGCACCGGCUAAAUACGUGCCAGCAGCCGCGGUAAUACGUAUGGUGCAAGCGUUAUCCGGAUUUACUGGGUGUAAAGGGAGCGUAGACGGCUGUGUAAGUCUGAAGUGAAAGCCCGGGGCUCAACCCCGGGACUGCUUUGGAAACUAUGCAGCUAGAGUGUCGGAGAGGUAAGUGGAAUUCCCAGUGUAGCGGUGAAAUGCGUAGAUAUUGGGAGGAACACCAGUGGCGAAGGCGGGUAACUGGACUGCAACUGACGCUGAGGCGCGAAAGUGUGGGGAGCAAACAGGAUUAGAUACCCUGGUAGUCCACACUGUAAACGAUGAAUGCUAGGUGUAGGGGGUAUCGACCCCUUCUGUGCCGGAGUAAACACAAUAAGCAUUCCGCCUGGGGAGUACGGCCGCAAGGUUGAAACUCAAAGGAAUUGACGGGGGCCCGCACAAGCAGCGGAGCAUGUGGUUUAAUUCGACGCAACGCGAAGAACCUUACCAGGUCUUGACAUCCACUUAAAGCCAUAGAGAUAUGGUGUGAGCUUGCUCAAAGUGAGACAGGUGGUGCAUGGUUGUCGUCAGCUCGUGUCGUGAGAUGUUGGGUUAAGUCCCGCAACGAGCGCAACCCUUGCUGAUAGUUACUAACGUGUAAAGACGAGGACUCUAUCAGGACUGCCGGGGACAACUCGGAGGAAGGUGGGGACGACGUCAAAUCAUCAUGCCCCUUAUGACCUGGGCUACACACGUGCUACAAUGGCCGUUACAGAGAGAAGCGAGGCUGCAAAGCGGAGCAGAUCUCAAAAAAGCGGUCUCAGUUCGGAUUGUGGGCUGCAACCCGCCCACAUGAAGUCGGAGUUGCUAGUAAUCGCGGAUCAGCAUGCCGCGGUGAAUACGUUCCCGGGCCUUGCACACACCGCCCGUCA
RNAcentral lists this ribosomal RNA (1391 nucleotides) under uncultured bacterium. RNAcentral describes it as "partial 16S ribosomal RNA". It matches the Rfam family "Bacterial small subunit ribosomal RNA". The record is from RNAcentral.